RNAcentral lists this ribosomal RNA (488 nucleotides) under uncultured bacterium. Its description in RNAcentral is "bacterial SSU rRNA". It matches the Rfam family "Bacterial small subunit ribosomal RNA", at positions 28 to 507 of the family's 1533-position model. The record is from RNAcentral.
GACGAACGCUGGGCGGCGUGGAUUAGGCAUGCAAGUCGAACGGUAUCAUCCUUUCGGGGGUGAGAGAGUGGCGAACUGGUGAGUAACACGUAGGUUAUCUACCCUCAAGACGGGGACAACCCAGGGAAACUUGGGCUAAUACCGGAUGUGAGCAACUUUUAGUUGUUUGAAAGGUGGCGUAAGCUGUCGCUUGGGGAUGAGCCUGCGUCCUAUUAGUUAGUUGGUGAGGUAACGGCUCACCUAGGCAAUGAUAGGUAGGCGGCCUUAACGGGUGGUCGCCCACACUGGGAUUGAGAUACGGCCCAGACUCCUACGGGAGGCAGCAGUCGAGAAUAGUCUACAAUGGUCGGAAGACUGAUAGUACGACGCCGCGUGAACGAUGAAUCCCUUCGGGGUGUAAAGUUCUUUUAUAUGUGAGCAGUGCUUCUUAUAUUAACAGUAUGGGGAGAGAGAUAUUAGCAUAUGAAUAAGCAACGGCUAACUCCGUG